AAGCGGCGGACGGGUGAGUAACACGUGGGUAACCUACCUAUAAGACUGGGAUAACUUCGGGAAACCGGAGCUAAUACCGGAUAACAUUUGGAACCGCAUGGUUCUAAAGUGAAAGAUGGUUUUGCUAUCACUUAUAGAUGGACCCGCGCCGUAUUAGCUAGUUGGUAAGGUAACGGCUUACCAAGGCRACGAUACGUAGCCGACCUGAGAGGGUGAUCGGCCACACUGGAACUGAGACACGGUCCAGACUCCUACGGGAGGCAGCAGUAGGGAAUCUUCCGCAAUGGGCGAAAGCCUGACGGAGCAACGCCGCGUGAGUGAUGAAGGGUUUCGGCUCGUAAAACUCUGUUAUUAGGGAAGAACAAAYGUGUAAGUAACUGUGCACGUCUUGACGGUACCUAAUCAGAAAGCCACGGCUAACUACGUGCCAGCAGCCGCGGUAAUACGUAGGUGGCAAGCGUUAUCCGGAAUUAUUGGGCGUAAAGCGCGCGUAGGCGGUUUCUUAAGUCUGAUGUGAAAGCCCACGGCUCAACCGUGGAGGGUCAUUGGAAACUGGGAAACUUGAGUGCAGAAGAGGAAAGUGGAAUUCCAUGUGUAGCGGUGAAAUGCGCAGAGAUAUGGAGGAACACCAGUGGCGAAGGCGACUUUCUGGUCUGUAACUGACGCUGAUGUGCGAAAGCGUGGGGAUCAAACAGGAUUAGAUACCCUGGUAGUCCACGCCGUAAACGAUGAGUGCUAAGUGUUAGGGGGUUUCCGCCCCUUAGUGCUGCAGCUAACGCAUUAAGCACUCCGCCUGGGGAGUACGACCGCAAGGUUGAAACUCAAAGGAAUUGACGGGGACCCGCACAAGCGGUGGAGCAUGUGGUUUAAUUCGAAGCAACGCGAAGAACCUUACCAAAUCUUGACAUCCUUUGAAAACUCUAGAGAUAGAGCCUUCCCCUUCGGGGGACAAAGUGACAGGUGGUGCAUGGUUGUCGUCAGCUCGUGUCGUGAGAUGUUGGGUUAAGUCCCGCAACGAGCGCAACCCUUAAGCUUAGUUGCCAUCAUUAAGUUGGGCACUCUAGGUUGACUGCCGGUGACAAACCGGAGGAAGGUGGGGAUGACGUCAAAUCAUCAUGCCCCUUAUGAUUUGGGCUACACACGUGCUACAAUGGACAAUACAAAGGGCAGCUAAACCGCGAGGUCAUGCAAAUCCCAUAAAGUUGUUCUCAGUUCGGAUUGUAGUCUGCAACUCGACUACAUGAAGCUGGAAUCGCUAGUAAUCGUAGAUCAGCAUGCUACGGUGAAUACGUUCCCGGGUCUUGUACACACCGCCCGUCACACCACGAGAGUUUGUAACACCCGAAGCCGGUGGAGUAACCAUUUA
This 1366-nucleotide ribosomal RNA is filed under the name Staphylococcus saprophyticus. RNAcentral's name for it is "bacterial SSU rRNA". The record is from RNAcentral. Lineage: Bacteria; Bacillati; Bacillota; Bacilli; Caryophanales; Staphylococcaceae.